This 253-nucleotide ribosomal RNA is filed under the name Anaerobutyricum hallii. RNAcentral's name for it is "partial 16S ribosomal RNA". It matches the Rfam family "Bacterial small subunit ribosomal RNA", at positions 524 to 776 of the family's 1533-position model. RNAcentral also lists the same sequence under 2 other names. The record is from RNAcentral. Lineage: Bacteria; Bacillati; Bacillota; Clostridia; Lachnospirales; Lachnospiraceae.
UACGUAUGGAGCAAGCGUUAUCCGGAUUUACUGGGUGUAAAGGGUGCGUAGGUGGCAGUGCAAGUCAGAUGUGAAAGGCCGGGGCUCAACCCCGGAGCUGCAUUUGAAACUGCUCGGCUAGAGUACAGGAGAGGCAGGCGGAAUUCCUAGUGUAGCGGUGAAAUGCGUAGAUAUUAGGAGGAACACCAGUGGCGAAGGCGGCCUGCUGGACUGUUACUGACACUGAGGCACGAAAGCGUGGGGAGCAAACAGG